UGAGCUUUAAGUUAUAAAAACUUAGGGCCUUCAAAGCCCUCAAAGACUAAGUCAAGCUU
Molecule: transfer RNA, 59 nt
Filed under: Gmelinoides fasciatus
Lineage: Eukaryota; Metazoa; Arthropoda; Malacostraca; Amphipoda; Micruropodidae
Description: tRNA-Trp
Source: RNAcentral